This 253-nucleotide ribosomal RNA is filed under the name uncultured bacterium. RNAcentral's name for it is "partial 16S ribosomal RNA". It matches the Rfam family "Bacterial small subunit ribosomal RNA", at positions 524 to 776 of the family's 1533-position model. The record is from RNAcentral.
UACAGAGGGUGCGAGCGUUAAUCGGAAUUACUGGGCGUAAAGCGCGCGUAGGCGGCUUUUCAAGUCGAUUGUGAAAUCCCCGGGCUUAACCUGGGAACUGCAGUCGAGACUGUCUAGCUAGAGUAUGGGAGAGGGAAGUGGAAUUUCAGGUGUAGCGGUGAAAUGCGUAGAUAUCUGAAGGAACAUCAGUGGCGAAGGCGACUUGCUGGGCCGAUACUGACGCUCAUGUGCGAAAGCGUGGGGAGCAAACAGG